Long non-coding RNA from Hyla sarda, 466 nucleotides. RefSeq lists it as uncharacterized. The transcript is spliced from 3 exons. The record is from RefSeq and is a predicted model, not a curated record. NCBI's taxonomy places the organism in Eukaryota, Metazoa, Chordata, Amphibia, Anura, Hylidae.
GUGCACUCCUUCCCUGCCCAAUCGUUUCACAGAUGUUAAGAGAUCGACAUGGUGCCUUUAUCCGGAUGGAGAAGCAAAGGAAAGAGGAUGCAGCUGAUCAGAAAAGACGAAAUUAGUGUUAGAAGCCGAUUCACAGGUCUACAGUAUGCAACAUUUUUUGUUUGGAUUGGAGCCCUAGCACCCUUUGCAGAUGACCCUUCAACUUGCUGAAAUAUCAUCUGUUUACUGCCUGAGAUCCGGAGCACAACAAACACUUAACAAAGGGUUAAUCUCCGUAAGAACCCAGAACAUGCUCUACUGAAUGUCCCGAUACCGGAAAUCACAAAGGGGAAGCGGAAACUUAUCUACCUCAUUAUCUACCUCAUUUUUCUAGCUGCCAAAAUUGCAAUAGCUAUGAGCUGGGCGACUCAAUCUAUUUUCUCCAUCUGGUUGGAUCCAAACUAAAUUGGAUAAUGGCCAAUAACAA